This 28-nucleotide small RNA is filed under the name Bombyx mori (domestic silkworm). RNAcentral describes it as "ovarian small RNA-20663". Lineage: Eukaryota; Metazoa; Arthropoda; Insecta; Lepidoptera; Bombycidae. The record is from RNAcentral.
UACCCGAGACCCCGUCCGGUCCAUCAGC